CAGCCGUAAACUAUGCGCGUUAGGUGUACUGGUGACCACGAGUCACCGGGGUGCCGAAGGGAAACCGUGAAACGUGCCGCCUGGGAAGUACGGUCGCAAGGCUGAAACUUAAAGGAAUUGGCGGGGGAGCACCACAACAGGUGGAGCCUGCGGUUUAAUUGGACUCAACGCCGGGAAGCUCACCGGAUAGGACAGCAGAAUGAUUGCCGGGCUGAAGACCCUGCAUGACUAGCUGAGAGGAGGUGCAUGGCGUAGACGUCU
RNAcentral lists this ribosomal RNA (261 nucleotides) under uncultured archaeon. Its description in RNAcentral is "partial 16S ribosomal RNA". It matches the Rfam family "Archaeal small subunit ribosomal RNA", at positions 748 to 1009 of the family's 1478-position model. The record is from RNAcentral.